This 492-nucleotide ribosomal RNA is filed under the name uncultured bacterium. RNAcentral's name for it is "partial 16S ribosomal RNA". It matches the Rfam family "Bacterial small subunit ribosomal RNA", at positions 29 to 507 of the family's 1533-position model. The record is from RNAcentral.
AGUGAACGCUGGCGGUAGGCCUAACACAUGCAAGUCGAACGGCAGCACAGUAAGAGCUUGCUCUUACGGGUGGCGAGUGGCGGACGGGUGAGGAAUACAUCGGCAUCUACUUUUUCGUGGGGGAUAACGUAGGGAAACUUACGCUAAUACCGCAUACGACCUACGGGAGAAAGCAGGAGAUCUUCGGACCUUGCGCGAUAGAAUGAGCCGAUGUCGGAUUAGCUAGUUGGCGGGGUAAAGGCCCACCAAGGCGACGAUCCGUAGCUGGUCUGAGAGGAUGAUCAGCCACACUGGAACUGAGACACGGUCCAGACGCCUACGGGAGGCAGCAGUGGGGAAUAUUGGACAAUGGGCGCAAGCCUGAUCCAGCCAUACCGCGUGAGUGAAGAAGGCCUUCGGGUUGUAAAGCCCUUUUGUUGGGAAAGAAAAGCAGCAGGUUAAUACCCCGCUGUUCUGACGGUACCCAAAGAAUAAGCACCGGCUAACUUCGUG